AAUUGUCACGACCCGGAACUCCCAUCGAGCCCGUGACAACCGCCGCGACGUCCCGAUAGGCACUCAUUACCCCGAAUGCCGAUCGAAACCCCGCAAGGCUUAGCAUCAGCUUCUGCAUCUCCCCAGUGAGUGACAGUUAUUAAAUUUCACAUUUCAAAAAAAAUCAUAAGUCAUUUCCAAAUCAAAACAAUAAAAUAUUACUUUCUGGCUCACAGGGGCAUUUUCNN
This 227-nucleotide long non-coding RNA is filed under the name Theobroma cacao (cacao). Its description in RNAcentral is "long non-coding RNA (TCAC_LNC001592)". Lineage: Eukaryota; Viridiplantae; Streptophyta; Magnoliopsida; Malvales; Malvaceae. The record is from RNAcentral.